Long non-coding RNA from Cucurbita moschata (crookneck pumpkin), 916 nucleotides. RefSeq lists it as uncharacterized. The record is from RefSeq and is a predicted model, not a curated record. Lineage: Eukaryota; Viridiplantae; Streptophyta; Magnoliopsida; Cucurbitales; Cucurbitaceae. The transcript is spliced from 2 exons.
UUGGACGUUUAACCCUGUUCUCCUAGUUGGGAGUAAAGGAGGGUUUGGAGAUUCAACCAUUGAUCUCUUAAUUGAGCCUUUGGAUAAUGACCUUUGGAUAAUGAGUAAGUGAAGUUUAGGAAUUCAGCCUUUGAUCAGUAAGUGAGCCUACAAAGAUUAGAUCUGACCUCUAAUCUCCUAAUCGAGAGUAAGUAAAGGCAUGGAGAUUCAACUAUUGCUCUCUUAGUCGAGAGUAAGUGAGAGUAUGAAAAACCUAACCCGAUCUCUUAAUCGACCCAUUCAAUCACCGAUCUAAGAGUACGGGUUUGAAGAUUCAACUUCUAAUUUCCGGGUGAGAAGUAAAUUUCUUAAUUGUAUUUAAAGAUUAAACUACUUUAGUGUAUUUAUGUUCAUAGCAUUUGCUUUUUGACCCAAUGAUUUACCAAUCAAAACGUUUUGUCCUUAAAAAGGGCAAUUGACGUAAGACGCCUAAUAAUGACAAAAUGCAUGUUCAAAAUUGACCAAACCCACAUGCAAUUAACAUAUAAUAAUUAAUAGCCAAGUCUUCACAAAAAUAUCAUCCCUAUUUAUCUUUAGUGUAGAAUUGACCAGGUCAAAGGGUGUCAUUCUCAAGGCCUGUGACACUACUAGCAAAACAAAGUUGAAUAAAUACUAUUUCUAAUGAAGAAAACUUGAAAGACUUGUAUCCCGGGAAUUAGAUGAUCAUCGACAUCGACAUCGACAUCGACAUCUCUAUAGGCUCAGCAUCGACACAAGGGGUCGAAUAUUGUAAAACAAAAAUUAUCCGUUACAUUCACAUUAACAUUUUAUCAAUAUUUUCAUACCCAAGAAAAGAGAACAAACAAAAAAAACGAAAGAAAAAGAAAAAGAUGCUGCCAUUUUUCAACCGAAGACUUGGAAAGUAGAAGAAUGAGGA